GACGAACGCUGGCGGCGUGCUUAACACAUGCCAGUCGAACGGAAAGGCCCUGCUCUUGUUGCGUGCUCGAUUGGCGAACGGGUGAGUAACACGCGAGUAACCUGCCCUUGACUUUGUGGUAAAUUCAGGAAACUGCGGCUAAUACCGGGUAUGAGCUACUGAUGCAUGUGGGUGGUUGGAAAGUUUCGGCCGUGGGGGCUGGACUCGCAGCUUAUCAGCUUGUUGGUCGGGUAGUGGCUUACCAAGGUUUUGACGGGUAGCCGGCCUGGGAGGGUGAACGGCGUCAAGACGACUACGAGACGGAGCAGUAUCCUACCGGCCGCAGUGGUGGAGAGCCUUACAGAACGGGCGGGAGCGAGUUGCGGAAGUGCCGCGUGCGGGAUAACGGCUUAUGAGUUGAAAACCGCUUUCGCAUGUAACGAAGCGGGAGUGACGGUAAUGGGUAAAGAAGCACCGGCUAACUACGUG
Molecule: ribosomal RNA, 468 nt
Filed under: uncultured bacterium
Lineage: Bacteria
Description: partial 16S ribosomal RNA
Rfam family: Bacterial small subunit ribosomal RNA
Source: RNAcentral